AGGGGUGUAGUUCAGUGGUAGAGUGCUUGCCUAGCAUGCGUGAAGACCUGGGUUUGAGUCCCAGCACUGCAA
Molecule: transfer RNA, 72 nt
Filed under: Ictidomys tridecemlineatus (thirteen-lined ground squirrel)
Lineage: Eukaryota; Metazoa; Chordata; Mammalia; Rodentia; Sciuridae
Description: Spermophilus tridecemlineatus (thirteen-lined ground squirrel) tRNA
Rfam family: tRNA
About the family: Transfer RNA (tRNA) molecules are approximately 80 nucleotides in length. Their secondary structure includes four short double-helical elements and three loops (D, anti-codon, and T loops).
Source: Rfam by way of RNAcentral